GAUGAACGCUGGCGAGAUGCUUUACACAUGCAAGUCGUACGAGAGUUUCAAACUCAAGUGGCGGACGGGUGAGUAACACGUAAGAAUUUACCUUUAGGAGGGGGACAACAGCUGGAAACGGAUGCUAAUACCCCAUAUGCUUUCGAGUGAAAUGGAUUUUUCCGCCUAAAGAGAAGCUUGCGGCUGAUUAGCUUGUUGGUGAGGUAAUGGCUUACCAAGGCGACGAUCAGUAUCUGGUUUGAGAGGACGACCAGACACACUGGAACUGAGACACGGUCCAG
This 281-nucleotide ribosomal RNA is filed under the name uncultured bacterium. RNAcentral's name for it is "partial 16S ribosomal RNA". It matches the Rfam family "Bacterial small subunit ribosomal RNA", at positions 28 to 334 of the family's 1533-position model. The record is from RNAcentral.